Molecule: ribosomal RNA, 174 nt
Filed under: uncultured Nocardioides sp.
Lineage: Bacteria; Bacillati; Actinomycetota; Actinomycetes; Propionibacteriales; Nocardioidaceae
Description: partial 16S ribosomal RNA
Rfam family: Bacterial small subunit ribosomal RNA
Source: RNAcentral
CCUACGGGAGGCAGCAGUGGGGAAUAUUGGACAAUGGGCGGAAGCCUGAUCCAGCAACGCCGCGUGAGGGAUGACGGCCUUCGGGUUGUAAACCUCUUUCAGCGCAGACGAAGCGAAAGUGACGGUAUGUGCAGAAGAAGGACCGGCCAACUACGUGCCAGCAGCCGCGGUAAU